This 462-nucleotide ribosomal RNA is filed under the name uncultured bacterium. Its description in RNAcentral is "partial 16S ribosomal RNA". It matches the Rfam family "Bacterial small subunit ribosomal RNA", at positions 338 to 795 of the family's 1533-position model. The record is from RNAcentral.
CCUACGGGGGGCAGCAGUGAGGAAUAUUGGUCAAUGGACGAGAGUCUGAACCAGCCAAGUAGAGUGAAGGAUGACUGCCCUAUGGGUUGUAAACUUCUUUUAUAUGGGAAUAAAACGUUCCACGUGUGGGAAUUGGUAUGUAACAUAUGAAUAAGGAUCGGAUAACUACGUGCCAGCAGCCGCGGUGAUACGUAGGAUCCGAGCAUUAUCCGGAGUGACUGGGUGUAAAGAGUUGCGUAGGUGGCAUAAUAAGUAGCUAGUGAAAUCUGGUGGCUCAACCAUUCAGACUAUUAGCUAAACUGUUAAGCUCGAGACCGUUAGGGGUAACUGGAAUUUCUAGGGUAGGAGUGAAAUCCGUAGAUAUUAGAAGGAACACCAAUAGCGUAGGCAGGUUACUGGGACGGUUCUGACACUAAGGCACGAAAGCGUAGGGAGCAAACGGGAUUAGAUACCCCUGUAGUC